RNAcentral lists this ribosomal RNA (495 nucleotides) under uncultured bacterium. RNAcentral describes it as "partial 16S ribosomal RNA". It matches the Rfam family "Bacterial small subunit ribosomal RNA", at positions 28 to 507 of the family's 1533-position model. The record is from RNAcentral.
GACGAACGCUGGCGGCGUGCCUAAUACAUGCAAGUAGAACGCUGAAGGAGGAGCUUGCUCUUCUGGAUGAGUUGCGAACGGGUGAGUAACGCGUAGGUAACCUGCCUGGUAGCGGGGGAUAACUAUUGGAAACGAUAGCUAAUACCGCAUAACAGUAGAUGUUGCAUGACAUUUACUUAAAAGGUGCAAUUGCAUCACUACCAGAUGGACCUGCGUUGUAUUAGCUAGUUGGUGGGGUAACGGCUCACCAAGGCGACGAUACAUAGCCGACCUGAGAGGGUGAUCGGCCACACUGGGACUGAGACACGGCCCAGACUCCUACGGGAGGCAGCAGUAGGGAAUCUUCGGCAAUGGACGGAAGUCUGACCGAGCAACGCCGCGUGAGUGAAGAAGGUUUUCGGAUCGUAAAGCUCUGUUGUAAGAGAAGAACGAGUGUGAGAGUGGAAAGUUCACACUGUGACGGUAUCUUACCAGAAAGAGACGGCUAACUACGUG